UGACACUUUCUUCAAAAAAAAAAUAUGUCCUACUUUCUAAAGCUCAACCUGCAUGCUUAGGGAAAAUAAUGCUAGAUGUAGAUCGUAGCCAAAUUGGAUUAAAAAAAAGAGAAGAAGCUCCUACAUUAUAAUCUUUAUGGGUGUAUAUGUACAUACAUAUGUUCAAAAGGGCGUAGGACCAUUUGAAGUGGGACCAUAUUAAAUAUUUUGUCGUAGAGAAAUCUUUACUUUGAAGCAUGUAGAGGCGGUGGAAGCUAAUAACAAGCCAAAAAGUUUUUUUCUCUGCUUAUCUCAUUUUAUCUCCACAACGUUUGCUACCAAAAAUUUUCAUAAAUAUUUCUCGUCCUCUUUUUAGCUCCCAAACUCAUUUUCUCUUCUUCUCAAGCUUAAGUAAGGAACCAAGUCAAAUAUUCCAUUUGCACUCCAUGAAACGUACUGAAUCCAUUCUUGGGAGUUAAGAGAAAAGUUUUCUUUUUGGAAAAUCAAGAGGUAGUUGUAUCUCUUCAAUUAAGAUUAAUUACUUAAAGGAAAGGUCAAAUUGUGGUACUAUGUAGUAUUGAUUGGGAAACAAGAUAUGUAAGGCUAAAACCUCUUUCGCCCGCUUCACACAACCUUCUUAUCACAAGUAUCUUUUAUACAAGUCAAUAAGUACUUAAACAUAAAGUACAAAGAGUUUAUUAAGUUACAUGUUGCAUCUACCCAUGUCUCAUUUGUUUAACUGUCAAAAAAUGCUCAUAUGUCUCAUUUGAAUAAAUGUUGCAUCCACGCAUAUGACUCAUUUUCUUAAGCAUCGCACUUGUCUAAAAGGUUUCACUAGUUCACAUGUCAGCUUACGUGUCUCAUCUGCACUCAUUUGGUUAUAUGCUGUAAUUUCUCAGAUUGUUACGUUCUUUUGUCACUUGUUGUCGCUCCUUUCAUGUCUCUCAAUAUUUACAUCAUCUAUUUGAGGAGUUUAUAUGCCUUCACUUAAAAUGUACAUAUUUCUUCAUUUGGAUUACUCAUUCAUCUUUUUUAGAAUAUCUAUCUCCCUUGUUUGAAUUAUCUAAUCCUAUGUGAAUCACCUGCUUACUGUAAGAUAACUUGCACACUUACUCUGCGUGUUUAUGUCCCAUUUGCUACACGCCCUUGUAAACUUAGUUGUCACAUGUUUCAUGGCUAAUUUAGUUAUAAGUUUUAUUCCCAAUGAGGCUCAUUUGCUGUUUGAUUAUUUGAGGGGGUGGAAUUGUUCUAAUAUGAAACAACUAACCCAAUUAAGGGAAAUACGGGUAACAUUCAUAUGUGAUCUUUGAAGUAUGUGAUCUCGUGCCCCAGGUCUUGUUGGAAGAUCGUCAUGUGUUAUAUGGAGUAGAUUUCACGUGCUAUGUCGAACGUGGCAGAUCCUCGUGUGUUAUAUGGAAUAGAUUUCAUGUGCUAUUCUAGAUGUGGUAGCUACUCAUGUGUUAUACAGAACAGAUUUCAUAUGCUAUGAUAGACAUGGCAGGUACUCCUGUAUUACAUGAAAUAGGUUUCCUGUGCUAUGCCAGACGUGGCAGAUACUAAUAUGUUAUAUGGAACAAAUUUCAUGUGCUAUGCCAGACGCGGUAGAUCCUCAUAUGUUAUAUGGAAUAUAUUGAGUGUGCUCUGCCAGACAUGGCAGAUUGAGUGUGCUGUGCCAAACAUGGCAGAUCCUCGUGUUACACUGAACAAAUUUAAUGUGCUAUGCCAGACGUGUCCGAUCCUCAUGUGUUAUGUGGAACAGAUAUCAUGUGCUAAUACAGACGUG
This 1762-nucleotide long non-coding RNA is filed under the name Capsicum annuum. RNAcentral describes it as "long non-coding RNA (CANN_LNC015763)". Lineage: Eukaryota; Viridiplantae; Streptophyta; Magnoliopsida; Solanales; Solanaceae. The record is from RNAcentral.